RNAcentral lists this transfer RNA (72 nucleotides) under Caudoviricetes sp. Its description in RNAcentral is "tRNA-Gln". It matches the Rfam family "tRNA". Rfam says of the family: Transfer RNA (tRNA) molecules are approximately 80 nucleotides in length. Their secondary structure includes four short double-helical elements and three loops (D, anti-codon, and T loops). Lineage: Duplodnaviria; Heunggongvirae; Uroviricota; Caudoviricetes. The record is from RNAcentral.
AGCCCUAUCGCCAAAAGGUAAGGCACAGGAAUUUGACUCCUGCAUUUGUUGGUUCGAAUCCAACUAGGGCUG